Molecule: ribosomal RNA, 431 nt
Filed under: uncultured bacterium
Lineage: Bacteria
Description: partial 16S ribosomal RNA
Rfam family: Bacterial small subunit ribosomal RNA
Source: RNAcentral
AACGAACGCUGGCGGCAGGCUUAACACAUGCAAGUCGAGCGCCCCGCAAGGGGAGCGGCAGACGGGUGAGUAACGCGUGGGAACGUACCCUUACCUUCGGGAUAGCUCCGGGAAACUGGAAUUAAUACCGAAUGUGCCCUUUGGGGGAAAGAUUUAUCGGAUAAGGAUCGGCCCGCGUUGGAUUAGCUAGUUGGUGGGGUAAAGGCCUACCAAGGCGACGAUCCAUAGCUGGUCUGAGAGGAUGAUCAGCCACAUUGGGACUGAGACACGGCCCAAACUCCUACGGGAGGCAGCAGUGGGGAAUAUUGGACAAUGGGCGCAAGCCUGAUCCAGCCAUGCCGCGUGAGUGAUGAAGGCCUUAGGGUUGUAAAGCUCUUUCACCGGAGAAGAUAAUGACGGUAUCCGGAGAAGAAGCCCCGGCUAACUUCGUG